This is a long non-coding RNA of Entelurus aequoreus (snake pipefish), 599 nucleotides long. RefSeq lists it as uncharacterized. The transcript has 4 exons. The record is from RefSeq and is a predicted model, not a curated record. NCBI's taxonomy places the organism in Eukaryota, Metazoa, Chordata, Actinopteri, Syngnathiformes, Syngnathidae.
UGUGACACUUUACCCGUCACUUAACAUCAACAUGGAGGAUGAAAAUAAGGAUAUGAACACGUCUAUGAUCCAACAUGCCACGCUGGCUUUCUGGAAGGUAAGCUGAGGAAUAUCCGCCAAACGAAGGGAUGAUCGGUGCCGUUAUUGCAGAAGGGGUGGCUCAUCUGAAGUCACUGUUGGACUUGAAGAAGUUACAGAAAGUGAUGAGUCUGUCCAAGAAUGGAUAACUGUGAUCAUAAGGAUGAAGCCUAGUCCGGAGAACCUUUCUUCCAUCAAGAUGGGUAAGGACAAAACCUACUUCCACCCAAGAUACUGGAUAUCUAAUCAGUCACCUACUCUGGCAGAGAUUGUUGAGAACUACCCUCGUUUCAUUGAUGUACCAUAUCUGAUCGACAGUUUGAGAAGAUGUUUCCAUACAAGACAGACAUCUUUCUACACAAAUGGGACCAAAGUUGUUGAAGCUGGCUGCUCUUGAAGGAAAAGAUGAACCACCAGAAGCUGAGAGUGCUGAAUGAAGGUGCUGUAGAGCACUGAAGAUGCUCACACAUGAUCUGCCCCCUACUGGGUCAACAAGAUCUAUGGGAUGGACAAAAUGCAGC